RNAcentral lists this ribosomal RNA (407 nucleotides) under uncultured bacterium. Its description in RNAcentral is "partial 16S ribosomal RNA". It matches the Rfam family "Bacterial small subunit ribosomal RNA", at positions 28 to 526 of the family's 1533-position model. The record is from RNAcentral.
GAUGAACGCUGACAGAAUGCUUAACCCAUGCAAGUCAACUUGGUGUCUGACGGGUUAGUAACGCGUAAAGAACUUGCCUCACAGCUAUGGACAACAUUUCGAAAUUACUGCUCAUACCUGAUACUGUGGGAGAGCUUUGCGUCCCAUUAGCUAGUUGGAGAGUUACCAGCUCACCAAGGCGAUGAUGGUUAGCCGGCCUGAGAGGUUGAACGGCAACAAGGGGACUGAGACACGGCCCUUACUCCUACGGGAGGCAGCAGUUGGGAAUAUUGGACAAUGGACCGAAGUCUGAUCCAGCAAUUCUUUGUGCACGAUGAAGUUUUUCGGAAUGUAAAGUGAUUUCAGUUGGGAAGCGGUACCAACAGAAGAAGUGACGGCUAAAUACGUGCCAGCAGCCGCGGUAAUUC